Molecule: transfer RNA, 71 nt
Filed under: Rhinella marina (marine toad)
Lineage: Eukaryota; Metazoa; Chordata; Amphibia; Anura; Bufonidae
Description: tRNA-Gln
Rfam family: tRNA
About the family: Transfer RNA (tRNA) molecules are approximately 80 nucleotides in length. Their secondary structure includes four short double-helical elements and three loops (D, anti-codon, and T loops). Further hydrogen bonds mediate the characteristic L-shaped molecular structure. tRNAs have two regions of fundamental functional importance: the anti-codon, which is responsible for specific mRNA codon recognition, and the 3' end, to which the tRNAs corresponding amino acid is attached (by aminoacyl-tRNA synthetases). tRNAs cope with the degeneracy of the genetic code in two manners: having more than one tRNA (with a specific anti-codon) for a particular amino acid; and 'wobble' base-pairing, i.e. permitting non-standard base-pairing at the 3rd anti-codon position.
Source: RNAcentral
UAGAAAGUGGUAAAACGGAAUUACAGGGAGUUUUGAUCUCCCAGUUAUAGGUUCAAUUCCUAUCUUUCUAA